Molecule: non-coding RNA, 23 nt
Filed under: Arabidopsis thaliana (thale cress)
Lineage: Eukaryota; Viridiplantae; Streptophyta; Magnoliopsida; Brassicales; Brassicaceae
Source: RNAcentral
AAUGCAUGAUUGGUUGGGCUGUA